CUACGGGUGGCUGCAGUGAGGAAUAUUGCACAAUGGGGGGAACCCUGAUGCAGCAACGCCGCGUGGAGGAUGACGCAUUUCGGUGCGUAAACUCCUUUUAUAUGUCAAGAAAAUGACGGUAGCAUAUGAAUAAGCACCGGCUAACUCCGUGCCAGCAGCCGCGGUAAUACGGAGGGUGCAAGCGUUACUCGGAAUCACUGGGCGUAAAGGACGCGUAGGCGGGCUUGUAAGUCAGGUGUGAAAUCCUACAGCUUAACUGUAGAACUGCACUUGAAACUACGAGCCUAGAGUAUGGGAGGGGGAGAUGGAAUUAGUGGUGUAGGGGUAAAAUCCGUAGAUAUCACUAGGAAUACCUAAAGCGAAGGCGAUCUCCUGGAACAUAACUGACGCUAAGGCGUGAAAGCGUGGGGAGCAAACAGGAUUAGAUACCCGAGUAGUC
This 439-nucleotide ribosomal RNA is filed under the name uncultured bacterium. Its description in RNAcentral is "partial 16S ribosomal RNA". It matches the Rfam family "Bacterial small subunit ribosomal RNA", at positions 339 to 795 of the family's 1533-position model. The record is from RNAcentral.